CCUACGGGGGGCAGCAGUGAGGAAUAUUGGUCAAUGGGCGUAAGCCUGAACCAGCCAAAUCGCGUGAGGGAUGAAGGUUCUAUGGAUCGUAAACCUCUUUUAUAAGGGAAUAAAGUGUGGGACGGGUCCGAUUUUGUAUGUACCUUAUGAAUAAGGAUCGGCGAACUCCGUGCCAGCAGCCGCGGUAAUACGGAGGAUCCGAGCGUUAUCCGGAUUUAUUGGGGUUAAAGGGUGCGUAGGCGGCCUUUUAAGUCAGCGGUGAAAGUCUUGGGCUCAACCAUAGAAUUGCCGUUGAAACUGGCGGGCUUGAGUAUGUUUGAGGCAGGCGGAAUGCGUGGUGUAGCGGUGAAAUGCUUAGAUAUCACGCAGAACCCCGAUUGCGAAGGCAGCCUGCCAAGCCAUGACUGACGCUGAUGCACGAAAGCGUGGGGAUCAAACAGGAUUAGAUACCCCAGUAGUC
RNAcentral lists this ribosomal RNA (460 nucleotides) under uncultured bacterium. RNAcentral's name for it is "partial 16S ribosomal RNA". It matches the Rfam family "Bacterial small subunit ribosomal RNA", at positions 338 to 795 of the family's 1533-position model. The record is from RNAcentral.